This 380-nucleotide long non-coding RNA is filed under the name Salvia miltiorrhiza (redroot sage). RNAcentral describes it as "long non-coding RNA (SMIL_LNC013875)". The record is from RNAcentral. Lineage: Eukaryota; Viridiplantae; Streptophyta; Magnoliopsida; Lamiales; Lamiaceae.
CUUAAUUUACUCUAUUUUUAAGGGUUUGUUUGUGUGUGUUUUAAGAUAAUCUUCUGGAAAUUGGUGCGUUUAUGGUGUAUUCUAUGCUUUGCAGGAGAUUUAGGCUUUCGAGAUGGAAGAAUGCAAUUUUGGAGAAUUUUGGAUGAAUUUGGCGUUUUCUAGAUGUUCUGGUCUCCAGAGCAGAGAAAUCACCGUUCCUCUGGAGUCAGAGAAAUCACCGUUCCUCUUGAGUCAGAGAAAUCACCGUUCCUCUGGAGUCAGAGAAGUCAAAGUCCAGAGCAGAGAAGCGCCAGCGUCAGAAAAGCGAAGUGCCAGUACAGCGAAAUCAAGUCUCCAGUGCAGCGGAAUCAAUCGCCAGAGAAAUCACCAUUUCUCUGGAG